GCGGGAAUAGCUCAGUUGGUAGAGCAUAACCUUGCCAAGNNCAAGGUUGGGGUCGCGAGUUCGAGUCUCGUUUCCCGCUCCA
This 82-nucleotide transfer RNA is filed under the name Acinetobacter baumannii. RNAcentral describes it as "tRNA-Gly". It matches the Rfam family "tRNA". From Rfam's summary of the family: Transfer RNA (tRNA) molecules are approximately 80 nucleotides in length. Lineage: Bacteria; Pseudomonadati; Pseudomonadota; Gammaproteobacteria; Moraxellales; Moraxellaceae. The record is from RNAcentral.